Molecule: long non-coding RNA, 529 nt
Organism: Sarcophilus harrisii (Tasmanian devil)
Lineage: Eukaryota; Metazoa; Chordata; Mammalia; Dasyuromorphia; Dasyuridae
Exons: 3
Source: RefSeq, a predicted model, not a curated record
CCCUAAUGUAGUUUAGUGGAGUUGGGCUAAGUUGUAGAAAGGAUCCAAGGUACCAAUGGGGUAUUUCACAUUAACCUUACCUGAUUUUUAAGUGUUUUGCAGAUUCCUGUUCUGAUGGAAACAAAGAGAAUUUACCACAAGAGAAAAGAAGAAUAUUUGAAACAAAACAAAAUCCAUUAAAGACAAACUUCACACAAAAGUUUUUUGGAAUCAAGUCUUCAGAAUAUUGAAGUUAAAGCAGCAGUAUUUUAAGCAACUCCCCUAAAGAUACUGCUCCAUUUACCUCAUCAUGUGGUCUUUGGAGAGUAUGGAACAUAUAAGCAGGAACUGAAAGCACAGAGGAGAAGAUUUCAGAGCCAGAGAAGACAAGUGGAUAGAAGACUGGAGGCUGGAGCACAAGUCCUUGGACCCAGAUUCAUCCCAUCUCACACCAUCCACGUGGCAGACUCUCCUCCCGUAUUUCUCCACUGAGACCAAGGCUAGUCUGAAAGGAGACCAAGGCCAGUCUGAAAGGCUCUCCAGAAAGCUA